CAGCAGCCGCGGGAAUACGGAGGGAGCUAGCGUUGUUCGGAAUUACUGGGCGUAAAGCGCACGUAGGCGGCUUUGUAAGUUAGAGGUGAAAGCCUGGAGCUCAACUCCAGAACUGCCUUUAAGACUGCAUCGCUUGAAUCCAGGAGAGGUGUGUGGAACUCCGAGUGUAGAGGUGAAAUUCGUAGAUAUUCGGAAGAACACCAGUGGCGAAGGCGACACACUGGCCCGUAACUGACGCUGAGGCGCGAAAGCGUGGGGAGCAAACAGGAUUAGAUACCCGCGUAGUCCCUGUCUCUUAUAC
This 301-nucleotide ribosomal RNA is filed under the name uncultured bacterium. RNAcentral's name for it is "partial 16S ribosomal RNA". It matches the Rfam family "Bacterial small subunit ribosomal RNA", at positions 509 to 807 of the family's 1533-position model. The record is from RNAcentral.